UACGUAGGGUGCGAGCGUUGUCCGGAAUUAUUGGGCGUAAAGCGCUCGUAGGCGGUCUGUCGCGUCGAUCGUGAAAACUUGGGGCUUAACUCUGAGCUUGCGGUCGAUACGGGCAUGACUGGAGUUCGGCAGGGGAGACUGGAAUUCCUGGUGUAGCGGUGAAAUGCGCAGAUAUCAGGAGGAACACCGGUGGCGAAGGCGGGUCUCUGGGCCGAUACUGACGCUGAGGAGCGAAAGCGUGGGGAGCGAACAGG
This 254-nucleotide ribosomal RNA is filed under the name uncultured bacterium. RNAcentral's name for it is "partial 16S ribosomal RNA". It matches the Rfam family "Bacterial small subunit ribosomal RNA", at positions 524 to 776 of the family's 1533-position model. The record is from RNAcentral.